This 67-nucleotide transfer RNA is filed under the name Emplectonema gracile. RNAcentral describes it as "tRNA-Val". Lineage: Eukaryota; Metazoa; Nemertea; Enopla; Monostilifera; Emplectonematidae. The record is from RNAcentral.
UCAAGGGAAAGCAUUUAUGAUGUUUUUCGUUUACGUUGAAAAGAAGAGAAGAUUUUUUCCUCCCUUG